UACGUAGGUGGCGAGCGUUGUCCGGAUUUACUGGGCGUAAAGGGAGCGUAGGCGGAUUUUUAAGUGAGAUGUGAAAUACUCGGGCUCAACUUGAGUGCUGCAUUUCAAACUGGAAGUCUAGAGUGCAGGAGAGGAGAAUGGAAUUCCUAGUGUAGCGGUGAAAUGCGUAGAGAUUAGGAAGAACACCAGUGGCGAAGGCGAUUCUCUGGACUGUAACUGACGCUGAGGCUCGAAAGCGUGGGGAGCAAAUAGG
RNAcentral lists this ribosomal RNA (253 nucleotides) under uncultured bacterium. RNAcentral describes it as "partial 16S ribosomal RNA". It matches the Rfam family "Bacterial small subunit ribosomal RNA", at positions 524 to 776 of the family's 1533-position model. The record is from RNAcentral.